RNAcentral lists this ribosomal RNA (492 nucleotides) under uncultured bacterium. RNAcentral's name for it is "partial 16S ribosomal RNA". It matches the Rfam family "Bacterial small subunit ribosomal RNA", at positions 29 to 507 of the family's 1533-position model. The record is from RNAcentral.
AGUGAACGCUGGCGGUAGGCCUAACACAUGCAAGUCGAACGGCAGCACAGUAAGAGCUUGCUCUUACGGGUAGCGAGUGGCGGACGGGUGAGGAAUACAUCGGAAUCUACUUUUUCGUGGGGGAUAACGUAGGGAAACUUACGCUAAUACCGCAUACGACCUACGGGUGAAAGCAUGGGAUCUUCGGACCUUGCGCGAUUGAAUGAGCCGAUGUCGGAUUAGCUAGUUGGCGGGGUAAAGGCCCACCAAGGCGACGAUCCGUAGCUGGUCUGAGAGGAGGAUCGGCCACACUGGAACUGAGACACGGUCCAGACUCCUACGGGAGGCAGCAGUGGGGAAUAGGGGACAAUGGGCGCAAGCCUGAUCCAGCCAUACCGCGUGUGUGGAGAAGGCCUUCGGGUUGUAAAGCCGUUUUGUUGGGAAAGAAAAGCAGCAGGUUAAUACCCCGCUGUUCUGACGGUACCCAAAGAAUAAGCACCGGCUAACUUCGUG